GGACGAUAUUGAUGAGGUCACAUAGAAUUCUACAGAUAUUAAUUUCAUAUGUCAAAACUAAAUGUUGAUUAGCUUUGUAUGUGAAACAGUUUGUGCAUAUACAUCCAUCCGUUUUCUGUAUGGUUUUUCUUUAUGGUGUAUGGUUGUGGGGGAGCGGGAGCCAAUCCUGGUUGACUAUUAGCGAGAGAGUGCACACCCUGGACUGGCUGGCAGCCAAUCACAGCAGUUGGGCAUUGAAUCGAUCACAACUAGACUGAUCUGUUUGACUUAGAAGACGUUUCGCCACUCAUCCGAGCAGGCUUUCUCGAGGAAAGAAAAGUGUUGACUUCGCUGAGCAAGGAUGAAAACAUCACAAUCUUGCCAGCAGAUAAGGUUGGAGGAUUAGUGAGAUGCAAGUGGGAUGCUGGGCGCUUCCCUCCUUACUUCCUGCUUCUCUCCUCCAUUGGGAAAUUGGCUCGUUCUGCUUCACACUCUCACCUGUCUGUCUGCUUCGCAAUCCAUUUGAAGCUUGACUUCAUCCCACUCCCACAGUCUGACACUCCGUAUUAGUGAUUCACAACCGGGUGUGCACACUAGCGUGCCAUGAGAGCUCAUCAGGGGUGCAGCGGGAAAUUAUCCAAUUUCACUUCAUUUGUGUAUUUUCUAUCAUCACAAAUAUAUCUUUGUUCAUCUAUCACAUACAAGGCCCAGAUUUCACACUGAGUAGAUAUAUUUCUGAGUAAAGUGAAAGAAGAUGAUGCUUAUUUGAGUAUUCAUACUUUUAGUGAUUUCUUUUGGUGGGGUGGUGUGGCGUGAAUUUUUUCUCAUGUAAAAUGGCUGCCUUGCUUCAAUAAAAGUUGGAAAACACUGCUACAUAUUAUUACUUCCUAACAGUUUGUUUCCC
Long non-coding RNA from Phyllopteryx taeniolatus (common seadragon), 883 nucleotides. RefSeq lists it as uncharacterized. The transcript is spliced from 3 exons. Lineage: Eukaryota; Metazoa; Chordata; Actinopteri; Syngnathiformes; Syngnathidae. The record is from RefSeq and is a predicted model, not a curated record.